RNAcentral lists this ribosomal RNA (431 nucleotides) under uncultured rumen bacterium. RNAcentral's name for it is "bacterial SSU rRNA". It matches the Rfam family "Bacterial small subunit ribosomal RNA", at positions 354 to 776 of the family's 1533-position model. The record is from RNAcentral.
GCUAAGAAUAUUCCGCAAUGGACGAAAGUCUGACGGAGCGACGCCGCGUGGAUGAUGAAGGCCGGAAGGUUGUAAAAUCCUUUUAUGACUGAGGAAUAAGUGAAGUGAGAGAAACGCUUCAUGGUGACUGUAGGUCAUGAAUAAGCAACGGCUAAUUACGUGCCAGCAGCCGCGGUAACACGUAAGUUGCGAGCGUUGUUCGGAAUUAUUGGGCGUAAAGGGCAUGUAGGCGGUUCUGCAAGUCUGGUGUGAAAUACCGGGGCUCAACCCCGGAACUGCGUUGGAAACUGCAGGACUUGAGUCGCUGAGGGGCAGCCAGAAUUCCAGGUGUAGGGGUGAAAUCUGUAGAUAUCUGGAAGAAUACCAAUGGCGAAGGCAGGCUGCCAGCAGAUGACUGACGCUGAGGUGCGAAGGUGCGGGGAGCAAACAGG